CGGGGUGAAGCCGGUGGAAUGAGCGGCGGACGGGUGAGUAACACGUGGGCAACCUACCUUGUAGACUGGGAUAACUCCGGGAAACCGGGGCUAAUACCGGAUGAUCAUUUGGAUCGCAUGAUCCGAAUGUAAAAGUGGGGAUUUAUCCUCACACUGCAAGAUGGGCCCGCGGCGCAUUAGCUAGUUGGUAAGGUAAUGGCUUACCAAGGCGACGAUGCGUAGCCGACCUGAGAGGGUGAUCGGCCACACUGGAACUGAGACACGGUCCAGACUCCUACGGGAGGCAGCAGUAGGGAAUCAUCCGCAAUGGGCGAAAGCCUGACGGUGCAACGCCGCGUGAACGAUGAAGGUUUUCGGAUCGUAAAGUUCUGUUAUGAGGGAAGAACAAGUGCCGUUCGAAUAGGUCGGCACCUUGACGGUACCUCACGAGAAAGCCCCGGCUAACUACGUGCCAGCAGCCGCGGUAAUACGUAGGGGGCAAGCGUUGUCCGGAAUUAUUGGGCGUAAAGCGCGCGCAGGCGGUCUCUUAAGUCUGAUGUGAAAGCCCACGGCUCAACCGUGGAGGGUCAUUGGAAACUGGGGGACUUGAGUGUAGGAGAGGAAAGUGGAAUUCCACGUGUAGCGGUGAAAUGCGUAGAUAUGUGGAGGAACACCAGUGGCGAAGGCGACUUUCUGGCCUACAACUGACGCUGAGGCGCGAAAGCGUGGGGAGCAAACAGGAUUAGAUACCCUGGUAGUCCACGCCGUAAACGAUGAGUGCUAGGUGUUAGGGGUUUCGAUACCCUUAGUGCCGAAGUUAACACAUUAAGCACUCCGCCUGGGGAGUACGGCCGCAAGGCUGAAACUCAAAGGAAUUGACGGGGGCCCGC
Molecule: ribosomal RNA, 869 nt
Filed under: Salipaludibacillus agaradhaerens
Lineage: Bacteria; Bacillati; Bacillota; Bacilli; Caryophanales; Bacillaceae
Description: bacterial SSU rRNA
Rfam family: Bacterial small subunit ribosomal RNA
Source: RNAcentral